This 449-nucleotide ribosomal RNA is filed under the name uncultured bacterium. Its description in RNAcentral is "bacterial SSU rRNA". It matches the Rfam family "Bacterial small subunit ribosomal RNA", at positions 355 to 796 of the family's 1533-position model. The record is from RNAcentral.
UGGGGAAUAUUGGACAAUGGGGGCAACCCUGAUCCAGCAAUGCCGCGUGUGUGAAGAAGGCCUUCGGGUUGUAAAGCACUUUUAUCCGGAACGAAACGCGCUCGGUGAACAGCCGGGUGAACUGACGGUACCGGAGGAAUAAGCACCGGCUAACUUCGUGCCAGCAGCCGCGGUAAUACGAAGGGUGCAAGCGUUACUCGGAAUUACUGGGCGUAAAGCGUGCGUAGGUGGUUUGUUAAGUCUGCUGUGAAAUCCCCGGGCUCAACCUGGGAAUGGCAGUGGAUACUGGCAAGCUAGAGUGCGGUAGAGGGGUGUGGAAUUCCCGGUGUAGCGGUGAAAUGCGUAGAGAUCGGGAGGAACACCAGUGGCGAAGGCGGCACCCUGGACCAGCACUGACACUCAGGCACGAAAGCGUGGGGAGCAAACAGGAUUAGAUACCCCCGUAGUCC